AUUUGUAUAAGAAACAUCUAUGGAACCACCCGAUCCCAUCCCGAACUCGGAAGUGAAACGUAGCUGCGCCGAUGGUAGUGAGGCUUAAGCCUUGCGAGAGUAGGUCAUCGCCAGGG
Molecule: non-coding RNA, 116 nt
Organism: Stenotrophomonas maltophilia
Lineage: Bacteria; Pseudomonadati; Pseudomonadota; Gammaproteobacteria; Lysobacterales; Lysobacteraceae
Source: Rfam